UAAGCUCUGCCCAAGAGGGGCAGCAGUUCUCCUUUUCUAGCCCUACAACACUAAACAACCAAGCACCCAUUCCUCUCAAUCCCUCGCCAAGCUUGGCAGGGAAUGUUCCCACCGCUACCUUAUCUAACCAGGACCUUCAAACCAUGGCCCUCCAACUACAGAACACCGCCCACUGGUUGGGGCAGAUAAUGCAACAAAGGGG
Molecule: long non-coding RNA, 202 nt
Filed under: Manihot esculenta (cassava)
Lineage: Eukaryota; Viridiplantae; Streptophyta; Magnoliopsida; Malpighiales; Euphorbiaceae
Description: long non-coding RNA (MESC_LNC004415)
Source: RNAcentral